AGCCCCGGGGUGUUUUACAUGUCAGAUUGCAAAUCUGAAGUCGCAGACUAACGUCUGCCGGGGCUU
Molecule: transfer RNA, 66 nt
Filed under: Serranus scriba (painted comber)
Lineage: Eukaryota; Metazoa; Chordata; Actinopteri; Perciformes; Serranidae
Description: tRNA-Cys
Source: RNAcentral